RNAcentral lists this ribosomal RNA (592 nucleotides) under Carbonicola myrmecina. RNAcentral describes it as "eukaryotic LSU rRNA". It matches the Rfam family "Eukaryotic large subunit ribosomal RNA", at positions 65 to 671 of the family's 3401-position model. Lineage: Eukaryota; Fungi; Ascomycota; Lecanoromycetes; Lecanorales; Carbonicolaceae. The record is from RNAcentral.
CCAACAGGGAUUGCCUCAGUAACGGCGAGUGAAGCGGCAACAGCUCAAAUUUGAAAUCUGGUCCUUUCAGGCCCCGAGUUGUAAUUUGUAGAGGAUGUUUCGGGUGCGGCGCCGGUCUAAGUCCUUUGGAACCGGGCGUCAUAGAGGGUGAGAACCCCGUCUGUGACCGGCGACCAACCCCAUGUGUAACUCCUUCGACGAGUCGAGUUGUUUGGGAAUGCAGCUCAAAAUGGGUGGUAAAUUUCAUCUAAAGCUAAAUACCGGCCAGAGACCGAUAGCGCACAAGUAGAGUGAUCGAAAGAUGAAAAGCACUUUGGAAAGAGAGUCAAAAAGUACGUGAAAUUGUUGAAAGGGAAGCGCUGGCAACCAGACCUGCCUGCCGGCGAUCAACCUCCGUUCUCGGGGGUGCACUCGCCGGCGAUCAGGCCAGCAUCGGUUCGGGCGGCCGGAUAAAGGCCCCGGGAAUGUAGCUCCCCCCGGGGAGUCUUAUAGCCCGGGGUGCAAUGCGGCCAGCGCCGGACCGAGGACCGCGCUUCGGCAAGGAUGCUGGCGUAAUGGUUGUCAGCGACCCGUCUUGAAACACGGACCAAGA